Hordeum vulgare subsp. vulgare (domesticated barley) is the source of this 2638-nucleotide long non-coding RNA. RefSeq lists it as uncharacterized. The transcript is spliced from 3 exons. The record is from RefSeq and is a predicted model, not a curated record. NCBI's taxonomy places the organism in Eukaryota, Viridiplantae, Streptophyta, Magnoliopsida, Poales, Poaceae.
CCCACUUCGUCUCUCUCGUCUCUCCCCGCUCCCUCAAACAGGUCCACCUCCCCACUCGCCACUGCCAACCGCCCACCUGCGUCGGAAGGACGGGGACGGUCACCACCGCUGCUCCUUCGCUCCCCCGUUCAUCCUCUGACGACCGCGCCAAGCCGGAUUUGUGCGCACCAGGGGCCGAGGAGGCAGGCAACGCGGCGGCUGGCUUAGUCGACGCGGGGAACCUGGCCGAGAGCAUCGCGCGUCCUCCCUACCUCCGUUGUCCGCACCGCGCCCCAUCGCUGCCCCGAGCGCGGCGCCGCCCGCGGCGCCACCAUUCUCGCCUCUGAUGCCCAGGUAGCUCCAUGCCGAUUGCGCCUUCUCUCCCUCACCCGCGCUUCCUCUACAUCCGCCACACCAGCGCCCUCUCCCUUGCGCUCGUUGCCGGCGCUCUCUUCCUCUCGCAUGUCCCUCUGUAUCAGUGAAAAUGUGAUUUUUUUUUCCCGUCCGGGGCUCUGAUCUGCAGCGGCCGUGCUCGAUCUGCGGCGGGUACUAACAAGACGGUGCGACGAAGCUGAUUCUUUCGAUCCAUCUUACACUCGAGCCGGUUUGUGCAUCAGGCGCGGGUCUGACUACGGCAUGGCUACGGCCACACAGCAGGAGAGCGGCCAGCUCCGACAUGUUCAUCCGCCCGCUCUCGGACUCCAUCGUCAAGCACACCAACCUCAAGCAGAGACGAGGAGCGGGGAAGGAGCUGGCAGGGAACGAGUACAUCGGCAGUAGAGCCGGCGGGGAAGAAGAGAUGGGCCGAUGAUUGGAAUCACCCAUCAGCAGAGACAGGGCGCGGGGAAGGAUCUUGGCGGAAUCACGGAGGUGGGCCACGACACAGGUGCAGGUGGGCGGCUGUGCACCUGAGCAACGGCUGGGCGCCGGAAUCGAGCAGCUGCGCGCCGGCUGGUCCUGACGGACUGGGGACCAGCUCGCCUCCGUGGUCACAGCGGUAGGGGUGGAAUCGGCGGGUAUCUGGUGGCGUGCGGGCGGUGGUGUGCGGGCUGCGAGCGCCGAAAUCACGAUCCGGGCGGUGGAAUCCGACGGCGCCGGACGCUGGCGACGCGCAGGUGACGGACAGAGGAAGUACCGAAGUAGAAGGAGCCAGGGACCUGUUUGAUACUGUCUUAAUAGUACGAGUGUUUUUUUGCAAAAAGAACAUUGUACUGCACGCGACAUGAAUUUCGGGACGGAGGGAGUAUUCAACCAACAGUCUUUGGUAAGUGAAGAAAAGACGGUUUGAUUUUUUGAUCAACCCUCUGUGCACGUUUGGCUACAGAUCGAGCGGCGGCGCUCCCGAUCCGAUUGGGACACGACGGAGGACGACGGCGGCAGCGCUCCGGGAGGCGAGGAAUGGGGGGAAGCGGCGGACGUCGGCGCCACGCGUAUCAGGUAAGGAUCCUGUGAUGUUGAUAGCAAAAUAGAAACUUUUGUGUGAUGUUAUGUUCCUAGCAGUAAAUGAUCAGUCAUGAUCAGACAUAAUAAGAUAAAUGUAUAACCGAGCUGUUGAUUUUCUUCGUGCAUGUUCAUUAUAUUUGUAGCAGUAAUCGGCAGUUGUGAUGAUCGGUCAGUUUUUGCAUCAAACAGAUAUUUCUAAACGAAUAUUCAAGGCUUUGUUAUGGCUUGCAUUCCCGUGCUGUUGUUCCCCAACAUGUUUCUGUAACAAGAAGAACACGAGCUCCUCAUCUUUGUAUCAUAAUCACUCUUAACCUUGUUUUCCAUUUUGUUUGGUGAUUAGAGUAUAAAUUCUGGCAAUGGUGCAAAGGUGGAGAACUUAGCCGUUUAAUCGCAGUUGUGUUGCUCAAUUGCGACACUGUAUUUCAGGACUACAAUAUUAAUCUUUCUAUUCAUGGAAUGCAGAAUAGUUUAUGAGUUUUAUCUGCAGGAAACCAAACCGAAACAUGCUUCUCUCUAAACCGUACCAAGGCGACAACAUUCUUAUUUAUAUUCCGUUGAUCAAGUAGCAGGAAAAGGCCUACUUACUCUUUACUUUGAUUUUCCAUUUUUGGGAACCAGGUGAAGUAUCCUCCACGUAGGGCAUUAAGCAGGUAACAUUAGAAGUGCACUUUAGUUUUCACUCUUACUCGCACUAUCCUGUAUGCAUGGAAACUAAUUUACCAUUUUGAUUAUUUGGUGUAUACUAUGUAAAGUAGCAGGCAGAGCCGCCACAUACUCUUGUUUCCGUUCUCAAAUUGGACCACAAAGAAGCUUUUUACCGGAUGAAGCAAAAAAAAUAAAUCCAUCCCUGCUUGAAUGCCUACAUUGUUGCUCACAAGCAUGUGCCUUUCUAUGUUGUUUUUUGUCUAAUUUAGAGAGCAUAUUGAUAAUGGUCAGCAGUAAUCAUUUUUUUUAUCUUUCCUGGAGGGCUCUUACCAGCUACAUUAUUUUUUUCUCUCCUAAAGCGACAAGCAAGUUUCCAAGUUCAAGUCAGAUGACACGAUGCGGGGUGAUUAUUUUAGGAUGGCUCCUAAUGUAUCCGCCAUUUAGGUUAUAUUUGAAAUUCAGUGAUGUACCAUUUUGCCUUGAUUCUUGUAGUUUCUUAAUUGUUUGGCCAAUCUUGUUUUGAAUGUACUGGUUAACUAUUUCAACGGGCAAAUGGAUAGUUGUGAUAUUA